Molecule: small RNA, 28 nt
Filed under: Bombyx mori (domestic silkworm)
Lineage: Eukaryota; Metazoa; Arthropoda; Insecta; Lepidoptera; Bombycidae
Description: ovarian small RNA-23358
Source: RNAcentral
UAUACUGUGUAACGGUUAUGCCACUCCC